Erythranthe guttata (spotted monkey flower) is the source of this 467-nucleotide non-coding RNA. NCBI's taxonomy places the organism in Eukaryota, Viridiplantae, Streptophyta, Magnoliopsida, Lamiales, Phrymaceae. The record is from RefSeq and is a predicted model, not a curated record.
CUAGUUUCUGGUCUCUUUUCUCUGUUAGAAGUGUUCUUCGAUCAUUCUGCCAUUGGGUAAGGUACUACAUAGACGUGAUAGCUCGAAAGAUGGUGGGAAAUUUGCAUCCUUCUCGACUAUAUGAGUUGAAUGGUCAUACUGUUAGACAGCUCUUCCCUGGGAGGCCAAAGAGGCUGGAUUUGCGAUACGUGACUAUAAGCCUGAGCAGGACAGUGAAAUUGAAGGACUUCGUAUGUUUACUGAUGAAUUGAAAGGUUCGUAUGUUCAUGCACUCACAUAUUUAUCUUGAGUUUCUUAAUAGGUUUUCGUCAAGUACCGGAACCUUACUAGCUAAAUUAAAUCCUUUUACCAGAAAUCCUUUCUAGUGCAGGUCGCUUAAACACGUCAGACCGUUGCUUCAUGUUAAAAAUUUCUCCCAUGGAUGAUGAACCAACUAAUCCAUCAGGUUAAGAGUCUGUGCAAUGUUG